Molecule: non-coding RNA, 214 nt
Organism: Hydra vulgaris (swiftwater hydra)
Lineage: Eukaryota; Metazoa; Cnidaria; Hydrozoa; Anthoathecata; Hydridae
Source: RefSeq, a predicted model, not a curated record
ACCAAAGCUCAUUUACUUUUUGACAUAAGCAAAUUGCUUGGCUUAUGACAAUUAAUGUUUAUCAUUGAUGUUUAUCAUUAUCAAUGAUGGCAAUGCAUUUUUCUAUCAAGUAUAACAGAGUUUCGCUUGCGUGGAUUGAGAGAUGUUAAACAGUAUUGAAGGGUCUGCUAUCGAUUUUUUUGUUUGGUAAUGGGAAGUUUGUUGUGUAUCAGGA